RNAcentral lists this ribosomal RNA (199 nucleotides) under Campylobacter jejuni. Its description in RNAcentral is "partial 16S ribosomal RNA". It matches the Rfam family "Bacterial small subunit ribosomal RNA", at positions 1 to 194 of the family's 1533-position model. Lineage: Bacteria; Pseudomonadati; Campylobacterota; Epsilonproteobacteria; Campylobacterales; Campylobacteraceae. The record is from RNAcentral.
UUUAUGGAGAGUUUGAUCCUGGCUCAGAGUGAACGCUGGCGGCGUGCCUAAUACAUGCAAGUCGAACGAUGAAGCUUCUAGCUUGCUAGAAGUGGAUUAGUGGCGCACGGGUGAGUAAGGUAUAGUUAAUCUGCCCUACACAAGAGGACAACAGUUGGAAACGACUGCUAAUACUCUAUACUCCUGCUUAACACAAGUU